GAUGAAGAACGUAGCGAAAUGCGAUACGUAAUGUGAAUUGCAGAAUUCAGUGAAUCAUCGAGUCUUUGAACGCACAUUGCGCCCCCUGGUAUUCCGGGGGGCAUGCCUGUCCGAGCGUCAUUGCUGCCCUCAAGCACGGCUUGUGUGUUGGGCCUCCGCCCCCCGGCUCCCGGGGGGCGGGCCCGAAAGGCAGCGGCGGCACCGCGUCCGGUCCUCGAGCGUAUGGGGCUUCGUCACCCGCUCCGUAGGCCCGGCCGGCGCCCGCCGGCGACCCCCCUCAAUCUUUCCAGGUUGACCUCGGAUCAGGUAGGGAUACCCGCUGAACUUAAGCAUAUCAAUAACCGGAGGA
This 349-nucleotide unclassified non-coding RNA is filed under the name soil metagenome. Its description in RNAcentral is "partial contains 5.8S ribosomal RNA, internal transcribed spacer 2, and large subunit ribosomal RNA". The stretch from base 1 to 120 matches the Rfam family "5.8S ribosomal RNA", at positions 35 to 154 of the family's 154-position model. The record is from RNAcentral.